UACGAGGGGUGCAAGCGUUAUCCGGAAUUAUUGGGCGUAAAGGGCGCGUAGGUUGCUUAUUAAGUCCGUUGUUAAAUCUCCCGGCCUAACCGGGAAUCUGCUAUGGAUACUGAUGAGCUAGAGGAUGGAAGAGAGAGGUGGAAUUCUCGGAGUAGCGGUAAAAUGCGUAGAUCUCGAGAGGAACACCGAUGGCGAAGGCAGCCUCUUGGUCCAUUCCUGACACUGAUGCGCGAAAGCGUGGGGAGCAAACAGG
This 253-nucleotide ribosomal RNA is filed under the name uncultured bacterium. RNAcentral's name for it is "partial 16S ribosomal RNA". It matches the Rfam family "Bacterial small subunit ribosomal RNA", at positions 524 to 776 of the family's 1533-position model. The record is from RNAcentral.